UGGAAUAUAUUGUACAAACAAAAAUAGAUGCUUUCCCUUGGAUUUAUAAUACAGUUUUUAAAUUUUUGAGCUAUAAAAUUAAUUGGUACAUAAAAAUACUAGCAAGGUGUGUGUUGGAGCUCCUUUUCAUGUGUGCUUUUAAAAGUUACUUGUUCCCUGAAGCUAAAUUAUGAAACAUGUGAGUAGCUUUUGUUACUAGAAGCAGUUUUCAUGAGCAUCACCUCUGUAAGGCACCAGAUAAUGAUAAUCUUGGAAGUCUUUACAUCUGGUCGUUUUAUUUUAGCAUACUCCCGAGUCACAUUUCAUCACUGAGUUCUUUGAGGGGAUUGCAUAGUAUUGUGCAUCAGUUGCCGUCACAACAGGUAAAGUGUGUAGCGGGUAGAUCAUGUCACUCACUCCUUGUAGAACAGUCAUUGCUUCAUGCAGAAUUUUUCAUGGAAUUAUCCUUUCCUAUUUUCCUGGGCAAACAUUCUCCUUAACAUCUGAUUAAUUCUACUAACAGUUUAAUGUAUUCUGCUUUCAUAUGAAUGGAGGAUUUAUGGUAAAACCGGUGGUUUUAGAAAAAUCUUGCAUAAUCUAAUAGCGCAGUUUUAUGUUGGCAAAUAAUUGGUCUGAAGUAUUUCAUUAGUAUUAUAAGCCUGAGUUUACAUUACUCAUUUUGAUAAGUUUUCCUGACUAACAACUAGACAGUAAAAUAUUUAUAAAGAAUGUAAAGUUAAUGCCUUCUUAAGCAUCUCUUAAAUUUGAACUCCAGCAGUCUCUUCAAAGAAGCAAGUUACAUGAAUAACUAGUAAACAUUGAGAUAAAAUGCGGAAAUUUUGUUGCUUUUUGUGUUUCUAAUCUGUGUGUAAUGUUUCACUGUGCUGUUUUGACUAUGUUCUUUGUUCUUAAUGUCGCUCAUUCAUUUUCAUGAUCACGUUUUAGCCGUAAAAUUCUAAUUUUCUAUGAAAAGUUUUUCCUGAUUGUUUUUUCUUGCUGCCUAAAUUUUCAUUGUUAGUAGGCACAUUUGUGAGAGGUCUUGCUACAAGUUAUCUUGAGCGCUUACUGUCAGAAACCUUUGCUCCUUGCAAGAUCACUGCAUUCCUGAAUGAUGAGCCACAGGACUGGUUUGUGUCCCACCAUUGUUUUCUGGGAUUUUGAAAAUAGGAGAGCUUGAAGUGGCCUUGCAUAAACUUUCUAAUUUGAUUUUCCUCCCAAACUUAUUUGUGGUAACCUCACUUGAGUUGACUGUACCUGGAUCCCUAUUUUAAUGCAUUCUCAACUCUCAGUUUCCUCUCCUCUGUUAAUAACAGGUUUAGUUUAACAUCUUUUUUGCUUAUUUCUCCAGCUCUCACACAUUAGGUGUAGCUGUUUAUCUUCCACCUACAUAAAGAUAUUUUUCUAAAUGUUAAAAUUAACAAAAUGUCAAAGGUUUCUAGAGGGCUUUCUAACAGUUGGCAAAUUCAUUGUGAAUAGUUUGGCAGUCUACCUCAGUAUUGUUUGAAAUACCUCUCAAAAGACGUUGCUUUUUGUAGUUAUAGUAAUUUUCCAUCAGUACUUUAUUUUUAGUAUUAGAGUAGAUGCUGUGAUCUAAAGCCAGCUCUUAUUUUACAAGAUGACAUUUUCCCUUUGAUAAUACUGAAAGUUACCUAAGAAUAAAUUUUGCUACUCAUCUUUUGAUGUUCAUUGAUACCACUGAUAAUAUCACAAUAUCACUGAUAGUGUGUAGAAACACAUUCCAUUACCUGGCUCACAUUUACCCUGUAGGAAUGCUGCAUGAGUAAAUGAAUACUAUUUUCAGUCUAUUGAUUGCCUUUGCAGCUAGAUACUGGAUUAAUUUAUAUUGCAGCAGUGGAUAAAGUUGGUAUAAAAGUAUCAACUUUUAUAUGAUGAUAUGUCCUUUGGUUAACCCAAAUGUAGUUCAAGAUCUGAUGUGGAUUAAGUCCCUUUAAGUGAGUUUUCACUGAUCCUGUAUUGUAAUGGGUGAACUUCUGGUAAACAGUAGUUUUUAGCUCUGUAAAUACGGUCAUAUGAGGUUUUUGUGUGUUAAGGAGAAAGGUUUUCUAUUUAGAGAAUUAAAAACUCUGUGUUCUUAGGCAAAUGGGGAGGUGUACUUUUUCCAUAACAGAAAAUGUUCAUUCUCCUAAUGGAAAAUUAACACUAUAGUCCCUGUUUUAUAGUUUGUUUCUAGCUGAGAUCUAGCUGGGCUAGAAAUGGUGGUAUAUACAGCAGCAAAUAAAACCCAUGAGAAUUGUGGCAGCAGUGUAGUUUGUCAUAAGGAAGAUACUAGUUUUUAUCCAAUAUUUCCUUUACAGGAAUAUGUUUAUUUGGUUUGAGACACCUUCCUAUAGUGUGGCAUCCAGCAGCAUUUACCUUAUAAAAGUGUGUUCAUAUAAAUACGGCCACCCAGCAAUAAAUGUGUGUGAUAAAGUGAAAGUUACUGUGCAAACUAGUACAUGCUAGAUUUGGAAGGACUGACUGUACGUGUGACCCUCACCAGUUUGUUUGUUAUUAAGUUAAGCUAUUUGCUGGUUUUAUUUUUGAGUAUCAGCAUUGAUGAUGAAUGGUUCUAUUUUAGAUUUAAGUACAUUGUCUGUUUAAAGAGGAUAGUAUUUGGUAGAUAGCACAAAAACAGCAGGAACAGCACAAGAUGGUAUGUCAAGCUUGAAUCCUUUUCCUGUUUUGGUAAUUUUCAGCCGUUACUUAAAUGGUUGAUAUUCUUUAUUCACUUUUACAGGCCCUAGAUGGUCAAAAUAUUUAUAAUGCUUGCUGUACCCUAAGGAUUGAUUUUUCCAAACUUGUGAAUUUGAAUGUCAAAUACAACAAUGAUAAAAGUAGGGAUUAUACGCGCCCUGAUCUUCCCUCUGGAGAUGGACAGCCUGCCCUAGACCCAGCUAUCGCCGCAGCGUUCGCCAAGGAGACGUCCCUUCUAGCCAAUGGUAAUGAUAGUAAGAAAUUUAAAGGAGAAGAUAAAAUGGAUGGUGCUCCUUCUCGUGUACUUCAUAUUCGAAAAUUACCUGGUGAAGUGACAGAAACUGAAGUGAUUGCUUUAGGCUUACCUUUUGGUAAGGUGACUAACAUCCUUAUGCUGAAAGGAAAAAACCAGGCAUUUUUGGAAUUGGCAACAGAGGAAGCAGCCAUUACUAUGGUUAAUUACUAUUCUGCCGUGACACCUCAUCUUCGGAACCAGCCAAUUUACAUCCAGUACUCCAACCACAAAGAACUAAAGACUGAUAAUACACUAAACCAAGUGAGUAUGUAUGGCUGCAUAAGUGAAAUGCCUGGCACAUUUGAGGAUUCUCAAGUGGUAGAUAUCAACAGAGAGUGUGAGCCAUUGAGAAUGUGUGUCUGCAGUCAAUUCCUUGUUACAUUUAAGGUGUUUCAUGCAUUAUGUCCCUAACUACAGACUGCUACAUUCAUCUCAGAAACUUUGUGCAGCUUAAUAUUUUCAUGUUCUAAACUAGUAUUAAAUGAAUUGGUUAAUUUUGAAAUUCCUUUAAACCCCUGAUCAAAAGUUUCUUUUCUUAUUAAAGGGAAAAUUUUGUAUAAAAACUAGGGCUGAAUGGUAUAGUUCAUUAAUAGAGCAUGACCUCAGCAUGAGAUGCCCUGGGUUUAGACACCAGCACCAAACAAAAGACAAAGAAAUAAGGUGGUGCUGUGGACAGCUUAGAGAAGACCCCACUAUUCAUCAGGCUGAGGUAGGAGGGUUCCUUGAGUCCAGAGCUGGUUAGAGGCCAGUCUGAGCAAAAUAGAUGUCGUCCUUUCAAAACAAACAAAAAAAACCGUUUAGUUAAUUUAUUUUAUUUACUUUUUUAUGGCAGCUGGGGGCAGGGGACGAGGUUUCAACUUGGGCAAGAUAGGGUCUCAUGUCCAGACCUUGAUCCUCCUUCAUACAUUUCCCAUGUAGCUUGAAUGAGAGGUGCUCACCACUACACCAGUGUUUUUUGUUGAAGUACAGCUUACUUUUUUGCCCUGGGCUGCCCUGGAACCACAACCCGCCUGACCAGCUAGGAUUACAGACCUGCACCACCACACCCUGUCCAAAGAGACUGCUUAUGAAGUAGAGCUUACUGUUAGCGUGGCUUUAAGUUUAUGAAAUUCCCUGCCUUUGCUUAUUUUUCUCUCUGUAGAUUUUAGUUACGAAAUCCUUUUAAAAAUGAGUUAAUGGUUUUUCUGCAGGAGAAAACUUAAGAAUGGAAUAUGUAUGAGUGUAUUGAUGCUUUAAGAAUGGUAUAAAAGAUAUCACUUAAAUUUAAUGUUAAAAAUGAUAUAAGAAUGUUUUUAAUAACUUAAGUACAUAGGAUUAUUGUAAUGUUCUAAAAACUUUAUCUCUUUUUUAUUACAGUUUUUGAAAAUAAUAUCUAUUUCAGUAAAAUAUAAACUGCACCUGGCUCUUGGCUUUAUUGAAGAGUUAAUGGGGAGUAAUUGCUUAUCGAUUUUCAUCACUUCACAAAAAGUGACUUGGAAUAAUUUUAAUAGUUUAUGAAAGAUAAGCUUGUAAAACUCAUUGCCUAAAAGACAGGGCUGACAUUUUGACAUUUCAGUAUUUUUCUUUUUUUGGAGUGGAAGUGAUAGUAAAGUUCAGGAAAGGAACAUGCUUUCAAUAUGCUGAAAGGUCAUUUCUAGAAAGAGUGUGAGAAUGAAGUAUACCAAGAGAAAUAACUGCUCUCUAUUUUUUAUAUUUUUGUAUUUAUUAUCUAUGUUUAAUUGAGAUCAUGUGGUAUUUGUCUUUCUAUGCCCAGUUUAUUUCAUUUAGUAUCGUCUGUUCUCUUAAAAUGUCAUUAAAUGUCUCAGUUUUGUCAGUAUAAUUCAUGAGUACAUUCUCAUUUUUUAAAUUUUUUUGUGGUUCUUGGGGAUUGGACCCAGUGCUUUGAACAUGUGCAGCAACCACUGAGCUAUAACUCCAGCCUCACAUUCUCAUUUUAAAAAGAUUCACUAGAAAGUAUAGUGUAGAUGAAUAAAAAGAGGGAUUUUUUCUAGGUUGACGUACAUGGGAGAGAGUGACUUUCAGGGAUGGGUGCACUAAACAGCCUUUGAAAAGGGACAUUGCCACAAUGAACUUGAGGGUGGUAGAGAACAAGUCACUUACUUCAGCCUUGGCUAUUCCAGACAGAGGGAACUGUCAAUGCAAAGUUUUUUCUGUGGAAAACAUUUUUAAUUUUUGAAAGGCCAUCUUCUUUAAUCAUCCUUUUUACACUAAAUUGUUCAUGUCUUAUGACUUACAUUUCUUUGAGGAUUGUAAUGAUAGUGUUUGAAUUAUCUCUUCUCUUAAUCAUUAGCCUUUAUGUUUGACCUCUCUCUCCCUACCCUUCCCGUUUGUUGGCCUGUCAGAAUGAGCAGUUAGAUUCUGUUGGACUUGAUGCUUUUCUCCAGGGUAAAGUAAUAUUCAGCAGCAGGAAAAUAAGUUAUGGUGUGUUCCCUUAGCGGAAUACUGAGCCACAAUAAGAAUGAACAAGCCACUUGUACCUGCAAAAUGCUGAUGUAUGCUUUAUUGAGAGAAGCCAAAUGGAAGAUGGAAGUGAACACACAUGAAGUGAUUCCAUUUAGAUGACUGGGAGUCAGCAAGAUUGUGACUGCUAACCAUUAAUAAUGUUCUGCUUUUCAUAGGAAUAAUCAUUUCGCAGAGAUGUCUCAUUUGUUGCAUUUUAUUGAGCUCCAUUCCCAGGAUUUAUGUCCUGUAUACGUGCUAUAUUUUGAUAAGUUCAGUUAAAGUCAAGGUUGGUGAGCCAGCUGUGCCCCAUGAAUUAAAACAAGCAUGUGUGAGCGUGCUCAAGCAGUUCUUCAAGCUGUGACAGCUGUCCAGACAGCAAACACUCCUCUUAGUGGCACCACAGUUAGUGAGAGUGCAGUGACUCCAGCCC
This is a non-coding RNA of Castor canadensis (American beaver), 5840 nucleotides long. NCBI's taxonomy places the organism in Eukaryota, Metazoa, Chordata, Mammalia, Rodentia, Castoridae. The record is from RefSeq and is a predicted model, not a curated record.